This 504-nucleotide ribosomal RNA is filed under the name uncultured bacterium. RNAcentral's name for it is "partial 16S ribosomal RNA". It matches the Rfam family "Bacterial small subunit ribosomal RNA", at positions 28 to 523 of the family's 1533-position model. The record is from RNAcentral.
GAUGAACGCUAGCGGUAGGCUUAAUACAUGCAAGUCGAGGGGCAGCAGCUUUAUAGCAAUAUAGAGGCUGGCGACCGGCAAACGGGUGCGGAACACGUACACAACCUUCCUUUAAGAGGGGGAUAGCCCAUAGAAAUGUGGAUUAAUACCCCGUAACAUAUCGGUGUGGCAUCACACUGUUAUUAUAGUUUCGACGCUUGAAGAUGGGUGUGCGGCUGAUUAGGUAGUUGGCGGGGUAAAGGCCCACCAAGCCUUCGAUCAGUAGCUGAUGUGAGAGCAUGAUCAGCCACACGGGCACUGAGACACGGGCCCGACUCCUACGGGAGGCAGCAGUAAGGAAUAUUGGUCAAUGGACGCAAGUCUGAACCAGCCAUGCCGCGUGAAGGAUGAAGGUCCUCUGGAUUGUAAACUUCUUUUAUAGGGGGCGAAAAAAGGGAAUUCUUUCUCACUUGACAGUACCCUAUGAAUAAGCACCGGCUAACUCCGUGCCAGCCGCCGCCGUAA